AAAACCAGCGGACUUAAUCCAUAAACAUCUAUGCAAAAAAAGGAAAGUAAAAAAAAAAAGAGACUUAGUCCAGUUCGAAAAUGAAUUUUUACCCAUUUCAAGCUUUUCUAGAAAGCUCAUUAAUCCUCUAUUGUCGGUUACAGUUCUCCGAGGCUCACGAUUAAUCUUUUCUAAGAUCACCAUCCAUCGCUCUCUUUGAUCUUCAGAAACCCUAAAACACUCUUCAAUCGGGUUCUCGUUCUCUCUGAUGUCCCGGUCCCAGCGAUUCCUAAGCAUAUUUUGGCACCACGCCUUCUAGGUAAAUCUCUUCGUUCCUUCUUAAACUUUUUGAUGCUAGUCUAUGAGCAAUUAUGUUGGCUGAUUUUUGCACAUGUUUGAAAUGGAUGCUUUGAAACCCUCUCCGAUUGUGAUGAAUGUCUCUGAUGUAUGCACUUAUUUCUGAUUUGUCAAUGGCUAUGGACUGACAUUUCUUUAUUAUCGUUAAUGCAUCGCCUUCCACUUCUAACUUGUCCACUCCCAUUGCUAAACCCAACCACACCGCUUGAGAACAUGCACGCACCUUUGCUACAAAUGGCGAUGUAAUCUCAAUGUUUAGCAACGAUUUCAAGACCAAAACCUUCACCUCUGUCAUUCCUAUUCACCAAUCCCGAUGCCGAUCUACACUACCUACAGUCAAAAGCCACGUCAAAAUUGGUUUUUAUGAAGUGGGUUUCCAGUGAGCACCACUCAGACAUUGCCCACUGUUUGGUAAGGGAUCUCGCCCCUAUUUAAUCAAUCUCUUUAAUGUACCUCUAGGUUAUUUCAGCGAUCCCUCUCCCAGUACUAACCUUCCCUUCAUGCAGAGUCUUAUUAUGUUCAGUCCAAAUAACCCAUAAGACAGUACAGAAAGAACGACAUUAAGCAGUGGUACUCCUACUGAAAACCCAGGUAAGCCAUUCCCAGUCUCCUAAAUGCUGCAUCGAUGUAACCCAUAUGAGAUCUAAGGCAAUCCAUGCUUCUAUUGGUACAGUGCAUACUUGAAAUACAUGCAUAAUAUUCUCCUCUCUCCCUCUGCAUCUUGGACACACAUGACUUCCCCCCAGCCUACGCAUUUGUAAAUUACUAAAAGUGGGCAAAAAACCCCCCAUGAGAUUCUCCAAAUUAAUUAUAAAUAAACACAUAUAAAAUAAUAUAUGGACAGAAUUAGUUAUAGUUAAUUUAUCAAAUAUGAAAAUAAAAUAAAACCAUAUUAAACAAUUGAAAUAAAUGAGAAUUGAGAUUUUACGAAACGUUGAGGCCCGUGAAACGUGGUUUCCUUAAGAUAAGUUUCCCUAUAUAACCUUUCAAGAGAGUUCACAUAUAUAAACACAUGCCACACUUGGUAUUUAACCAAUGUGGGAUUUAAUCCUUUUAUUUUUCCUCAACAAUAUUUCUAAGUAGCUUACUUUGAGCUUCAAUUUCUCAUUCAUCACUCAACCCUUUUGAGCAUAUGAUAUACCGUUGUAAAGGUCUCAUGGAGUAGAAUAUGAAAUCAUAAAAUUAUGAUUCAACUCUCUACCUUUACCUAUUGAGAAUAUGCCUCAAAGUUACCAUCAAAUGUAAUUUUUCCAACAAUCUCCCACAUGAAUAAAAAUUGAUAGUUUUAUCGAAAAACAUUGACUCGAUGUGGUGAUAGAAUCUACAAUCGAUAGUUGUAUAGGAUAGGUAGGUAUCCACCCUUGAACCUUCCCUUGCGAAAGUAUAUUUAUUUUACUAGUUGACCAGUAGACGUGAUGUCCUUGAACUGUUCUGCCUUUUGUGUAAACGAUGAUAUAUCUCACACAACUACCUCAUUGGUAAGGUUUUAGUUCUCCUGGGUAUGUUCAUAUAGCCGUGAACAUCUCCUAGUUCUGUAAGAGUUUGAGAGAACUAUGCCCCAAUAGUCUCCUUGAAGCGGCCUCACUUCACUCUCACAUAGGUGACUUAUGUUGUUCGGCUCACCGAAACACACAAUGGUCAUUUAAAGCAUUGCUUAACCUAUUCCCUUUUUAGUCACUGUUUACGUUAUAGGAACGGAUUUGGGAUAAGUACCCCCACAGUGACCUCACAAGGUCUAUGCAAUUAGCCCUUUGAACCUAGAUCUUGGGAUCUCCAGUCAAUUAGGUAGGGUUUUCCUUCACAUAGCGCCUUUUAUUUUCAUGAGAUUUAGUCACAUUCCUUUCAAUGUUUUAAUAACAUGAUCUCGGUUUAAGCCUUAGUUAGCAUAUCCACAAUGUAGAUAACUCCGUUUGAGAUAAUUUGUUUAACAAUAUUAUGUCGACUACACAUAUUUCUCGACUUACCAUUAUAUGUUAUGCUAGUAAGACACCCCCACACUUUCAAGUGGUUGUAAGAUGGUUUUCUACCUUUCCAUAACUCAUAUGGUGUCUUGUCCCUUUUCUUACAGAAAACCUUAUUUAAAAGGUAAUUAGCUGAUAGAAAUGCUCCCCCUUACAUUUCAUGUGAUAACCCAGAGCUUUUUAGCUGUGCGUUCAUCUUUUCUUUUAGAAUCUGAUUUUCUUCUUGGUUAUUCUAUUUUAGGAAAGUAUGGUGGUGUUAUUGAAAUGAUUCAAUAUAUCCACCACCACGAUUACUUAACCUUUUUAUUAAGUUGGUUUUCAACUUUUUGCUUAUAGAGAAUAAAUUCUCUUUGUCUUAACUCGUAGUAAUGAAGGAAAUAAACAUUUUUAUUCCUUCCUCUCAUUUAAACAGGCUUUACAAACAUUGCUAUGUAUUAGAUCAAGUGAUUUUUUUGACCUUUAUUAAUUUACCUCAACACAUGUUUUACAUUUAUAAUUAUAAUUAUUACUAAACGAAGGAAUGUGCUCUAAGUUAAUUUAUGUACGUAAAGUACCAUAAUUAACAUAUCCGAGCCUACUAUGCCAUUAAUUAAAUGACUUAAGCAUAUGAACAAGAAAGAACAACAUUCUUAUUCAAACAUAGUAUUUAGUUUAAUACAUAUUUCCUUCCUACAAAUAUUCGCCUUUACUAAGAACAUUCAUAUUCAUAGUUAGACACAUAAUUCCAUAUCGGGCACUUCCUUGGAAAUUUCUUCCACAACGUUAACCUCGUUAGCUCUAAAUUUCUUUGGGAUCCUACAGUUGGAUGACUUGUGCCCCAUCUUGCUGCAAUUGCAGCAUUUUCCUUAAAAUUUUUGCUUCUUCAAAACACCACCUUUUGGUCCCAGUUUAGGCCCAUUUUGCGAUUGUUUUUCCUUCUUGAAGUCUUUCUUGACUUCUACGACAUUUGCUCUAGCAACAUUAUCAUUUCUUGCUUUGUUGAGCCUCUUUUUCGUACCUCUAUUAUCUUCUUCAAUCCAAAUUUUGACAAUUAGGUCUUCCACUGACACGUCCUUUCUUUUGUGCUUUAGGUAAUUCUUGAAGUCAUUCCAAGUAGGAGGCAACUUUUCAAUAAUGCCUGCCACUUGGAAGGAUUCACUUAUUAUGAUCCCUUUAGCAAAAAUUUUGUGAAUGAUUAGUUGAAGUUCCUGCACUUGAUUCACAACUAAUUUAGAAUCAACCAUUACAAAAUUCAAGAAUUUAGCAACUAAGAACUUUUUAGUUCCAACAUCCUCUGCUUUGUAUUUAUGGUCUAACGAUGUCCAUAAUUCCUUAGUUGUUUUCUUAACAUUAUACACUUUGUAUAGUGCAUCCGACAAUCCAUUUAGGAUGUAGUUUUGGCAUAGGAAAUCUGAAUGUUUCCAAGCUUCAACAGCAGUGAAAGCGGUAACUUCAUCUACCUCGCUCUCUUUAAUAGUAGGAGAGUCAUUUUUCAAAAAUUUGGCCAAGUUCAACAUGAUAAACUAAAACAACCUUUUUUGUUGCCAAGUCUUGAAAUCCUGUCCCGAGAAUUUUGCAGGUUUCUCGUUGUGGCUUAUAGCAGCCGCAAUGUAACAACCCAAAUUUUGGGCUAGUCGGAAUAGUGGUUUCGGGACCACAAAUUCGACGAGAAAAAAUAUUUAUUUUCAUUAUAUUUUUAUGGUCUACGAUUUCACAAAAUAAUUUCGUGAAAAUUUCGUUCAAAAAUUUUGACGUUUAGGCACUCAAUUUAGUCAAAAGGACUAAAUUGUAAAAAGUGCAAAAGUUGAGUUCUACAUGUUAGAAGUGUCCAAUUGUUAUGAAAUUUUAAAUUGGAGGUCCCUAAAUGGUAAUUAGACCAUUGUUUAACUUGUUGGACAAAAAUAGAAAAGAGAUAAGUGAAAUAGGAAAAUUUUAAGUUGGGGGCAUUUUGGUCAUUUAGUAACUAAAAGAAUUAAAAAGGCCAAAAUAACCAAAAAUUUGUUCAUCUUCUCCAUGGUGAAUGAAAUCAGCAAGGGGGAAGCCAUAUUUAGGGUUUUCAAGAUUCCAAGCUCUAUUUUUAAUGUUCUUUACGUUUUUGGAGUCCCAAUAACUUAAUUUAGCUUAUUCUAGCAAUAAUUUAAUCUAGGGUUUAUAUUUGAAAAAAUACCCAUAGGUGAAAUAUGUUUAUUUUGAUGUUUUAUGGCAGAAUAUGAAGCUUGAAAUUAUGUUAAAUAACUUUUGCUAGCCGAUUUUAAGUGAAAACGAGUAAAUUGACAUAAUAGGUAAAAAUACCUAAUGUUCAUAAGUAAGUGUUAGAGUGAGAAUUUGAUGUUGCCAUAUAAGGGAAAAAUGUUCAACAUGUCAUAAAACAUAAGAAAAGGAAUAAAGUUUAAUUUCUAAGCCUAGGGGCAAAAUUGUAAUUUUGUGAAAUUUUAGGGGCAAAAAUGUAAUUUUUCUAAAAUGUGAUUUUUGGACUGGAUUGAAUAAUUUGAGUGUUAAAUAAGUUAAAUGUGUUAUUAUAAGUCAAGAAAGACAAUGAAUUGACUUUGAUUAGUGAAAAAGGAAAAAAUGAGAAAAAAUGAGAAAUUUCCUGAUUUAACAUUCAAAAUAAAAAGGGAUACGAAUGAAGUGACAGAAAUGAUUACAUGUGUGGCAUGGAUUGUGUGUAGGCCACUAUGUGAAAGUGAAAGUCAUGGUCACGUGUGUAGUACUAUAUGCAGGCUACUACGUGUACCAAAAUGAUAGGUCGUAUUUGUAGUACUAUGUGCAGGCUACUAUGCGUACUAGAUAGCUUCGAUCACGUGUGUAGUACUAUGUGUAGGCUACUAUGUGUAUCGGAUAGUGAUGGUCACAUGUGUAGUACUAUGUGCAGUCUACUAUGUGAACCCGUAUCAUUAAUUAUAAGGUGAUUGCUAUGUGCUGAUCCCACCGGAUAUCAUUGAUUACAAAGGGUGGUUGCUGUGUGUUGAAUCCACCGUGUAUCUGUUAUUAUUCCGAAGUGUUCAUCGGGAAAUUGACUAAGUGAAAAUACAUGAGAUCAUGUAACGAUUAAGUGUGAUUGAAUGAUGAAUAUAUGUGUGGAAUUGAAUUGAAUAAUGAUUGAAAGUGAAAAAGGGAAAUUAUGAAAAAGUAAAAUUAGCAACAAAACAGUUUUGGACAGUAACAAUAGUGUGACUUUGAAAAAUCACCAAAAAUGGUUAAAAUUGAAUUAGAGAGUGAAUGAGAUAUGAAAUGAAAUCUUAAUGAGUCUAUUUUUACAUAAAAGAAACAGAGCAAGCAGAAGAGUUAUAUAUUUUGAGAUAUUUGAAUUUUAGUGAGGUAGGAUCGGAUUGAUUUUGGAAUCCCCUGUCCUAACUUUGGAAAAUAAUUACAAAUUGUACAAAAAUAAUAUGAGUUAUGAUUUAUAUGCUUAGAAUCCUUAAUGAGUCUAUUUUCAAAGGAAAUAAACGGAAAUAUCAUCUAAAUUCUGUAAAAUGAGAUAAUUCAUUUUUAGUGAAGAAAGGUCAGAGAUGUUGAGCAGUGAAACAAGGGUGAUUUAAAUAAUAAAAUUUACUAAUUAGCUAAGCCAAAAAUUCUUAAAAUUUUAUGGUAUGAAGAUAUGGGAGUCUAGUUUCGGGAAAAAUUAACGGAACUUAAUUUGGAGCUCUAUAGCUCCAGAUAAAAAUAAUUUAGUGACUGUAACUCGACUAGACAACUUUGAAUUUAAAUAUAAGUGAAUAGUGAAAUUAUGUAUAAUGCUAUUUAAGAAUGUUAUAUAGAUAAAGGUUGUGGGAUGGAGAGGAGGAGGAGGACAAUAAAGUAUAUGAAUUAAUUGUGUAUAAUUGGUUAAAUGUCUGAUUAUAAUCGAUAAAUGUUGAAAUAGGAGUGAUGCUUAUAUUGGUGCAUUAUUGGUCAUGGUCAGCUCAUGAGAGAAAACAAAGUUUCAUAGCAUAUGCGUGUGGUAUAUUUGGCAUGAAAUGGUGUCAUGAGUGGCUCAUGAAUUAACUGAUGUUGGUAAGUUGAUGCAUAAUUAUAGUUUUCAAAUAUAUACAUAUUUGUAAUAUUUUGUUAUGUGAUUCGAAAAAGGGGAAUAAAUAGUAUACUAAAAAUUCGGCCAUGGUGCUAGUUUAUGUUGAAGGAGUGUUUUAUGACAUAUCUUAAGUAAUGGAAUGUUAUGAAUUUUGAGAUUAAUUUGCUAGUCAAAUAAAUGACAAAUGAAUUGAUUACGUAUUCGUAAUUUUGACAUAUGCUUGGUAUAUGAAACGUAACAAUAUAUGCUUGAAUAAAUUUUAAGUAUUCGAAUGACAUGGAUUUAUGGUGAUAAGAUCCGAACAUUGAAUUCAUGAAGCACAGGUGAUGUAUUAUUGUUGUGUGAUAGCUUGGUUCGAGGAAUUGGUUAGGUAAAUGGUAAAUGAAAGCAUUUAUGGCUAUAGAAGAAAAUUUGGAGUGAAUAUAGAUCAAAGAUAUUGAGCAGUGAAAUAGGGGUGACUUUAAAGAAUAAAAUGUACUAAUUGUCUAAGACAAAAAUUCUGAAAAUUUUAUGGUAAGAAUAUAUGAGAGUCUAGUUUCGGGGAAAAUUAACGGAACUUAAUUUGGAGCUUUGUAGAUCUGGAUAAAAAUAAUUUAGUGACUGUAACUCGACUAGACAACUUUGAAUUUAAAUAUAAGUGAAUAGUGAAAUUAUGUAUAAUGUUAUUUAAGCAUGUUAUAUACAUAAAGGAUGUGAGAUGGAGAGGAGGAGGAUGACAAUAAAAUAUAUGAAUGAAUUGUGUAUAAUUGGUUAAAUGUCUGAUUAUAAUCGAUAAAUGUUGAAAUAGGAGUGAUGCGUAUAUUGGUGCAUUACUGGUCAGCUCAUGAGAGAAUAAAGUUUCAUAGCAUAUGCGUGUGGUAUAUUUGGCAUGAAAUGAUGUCAUGAGUGGCUCAUGAAUUAACUGAUGUUGGUAAGUUGAUGCAUAAUUAUAGUAUUCAAAUAUAUACAUAUUUGUAAUAUUUUGCUAUGUAAUUCGAAAAAAGGGGAAUAAAUAGUAUACUAAGAAUUCGGCCAUGGUGCUAGUUUAUGUUGCAUGAGUGUUUUUAUGACAUAUCUUAAGUAAUGGAAUGUUAUGAAUUUUGAGAUUAAUUUGCUAGUCAAAUAAAUGACAAAUGAAUUGAUUACGUAUUCGUAAUUUUGACAUAUGCUUGGUAUAUGAAACGUAAUAAUAUAUGCUUGAAUAAAUUUUAAGUAUUCGAAUGACAUGGAUUUGAUGGUGAUAAGAUUCGAACAUUGAAUUCAUGAAGCACAGGUGAUGUAUUAUUGUUGUGUGAUAGCUUGGUUCGAGGAAUUGGCUAGGUAAAUGGUAAGUGAAAGCAUUUAUGGAUAUAGAAGAAAAUUUGGAGUGACUAUGAAAUUUAGUUCAAUUAAAUGAUUUCAUCAAUUAAAUAUUGUGUAUACCAGAAUGUGUUAGUGAAUUACAUAUUCGUAAAUUGACAUUCAAAGUUCAGUUAGUGAUAUAUGAAAAUAACAUGAAAAGAUUUAUAAUUGUGAUUAAUAUUGGUUCUGACUUAAAGUGGAUUCUUCAAUAUUGGAUUGAUUUAAUGGAUAUAUUGGGCAUAUGAAUAGGUAUGUAUUGGGCCUCGUAAACCCUAAUUAGCAACUCGAAGAUAAUAAUUUGAAAGUUUUUAAUUUGGAUGGAAUUUUAUAACUCGAUUUAAUAUGUUUAUAAGUGUAUUUAUUCUGGUAAUGUCUUGUACCUUAUUCCAGCAUAGAAUACGAGUAAGGGGUGUUACAAUGUGACAUCACCAGAUUUGGCCCUAAUAUUUAGGUCUGGUUUGGGGUGUUACAUUUAGUGGUAUCAGAGUUAUGGUUUAGUCGGUUCUCGGACUAACAUAGGGUAUGUGAGUUUAGCUAUAUAUGUCAUAUUAUUACUCGUGAUAGUGUAAUACCUUCUGCCUCUAAGGAAAUUGUUCUGUUAAGACAGAGAUGACUUCUAACCGAGCUGCUUUCAAUAAUGCUGAAAAUUUAUAUUGAGGUAAUUGAAAUGUGUUUAUGAUGAAACGAAAUUUAGAAAGGUAUAAAUAAUGAAAGAAUAAACUUAAAAUUAUAUGAUUGAAUUUUUCCUCAAGUAAAUUUGAUUAAAGUUAGUAAGUUCAAUAAAAAUAUCUGUUUCCUUAAACUAAUAUGGUUAAAGGAUCUUUGGUUUGCAUGCUAAAAGAAUGUUGAAAGAUUGUGUGUUUGAGCUGUAUCCUCAGCAUGAAGAAAAUAGUAUCUUGAUAUGUUAGUGUUUGAUAUUUGAAAUCAAUACAGUUGUUUUAUUAAAGUGAAUUGAAUUAUCGAGAUGUGAUUUGAGUUAUAUGUAACUAAGCAUGUCCUCAACUAAGAGAAUAAAUUCGGUGCACUUAUGAGUAUGAAGAUAGAUAGUCAGAAUGAAAAAAAAAAUUCUAUAUUUCAGAAAGUAUGAAAAGAGAUGAUCAUAAGUUAAAAAAAAAGCUUAUAUUGUGAUAAGCUCAUCCAAGUAUGUUGGUGCUUAUAUGAUGCUAUGCUCUCAACAUAUUUGAUUAAGUGAAUAUGGUAAGCGAAUUUACUUAAAUAGAUGGAAUGUGUGUUUAUGUAUAUUUGUUAGAAUAAGUGAAAUCAGUAUGUGCAUAUGGUAGAAUCUUAUGUUUAAUUGUUAAGUUAAAGAAAAUAAUAUAUUUUUUUAUGUCUUUACUAUUAAACCAUGAAUAUUAUAAUAGUAUGAAAAUUGAAUUGGAAGAUUAAAUUUAGAACGCAAGAAUGAGUAUUUUCGUUCAGUGAUAUGUGAUGAAUUAACGAAAAAGACCAUGGUUGGACCAUGGCAACAUGUGAUUUGUGAUUUUCGUAUAAGACCAUAUCUGGGAUAUGUCAUCGGUGUGAUAUGUGCUACUGUGUAAGACCAUAGCCGGACUAUGACAUCAAUAUGUAAAUUUGUGUAAGAUCAUAGUUGGACUAUGGCAUAGAGAAAAUGAAGUACUCAAUUCUGUAAGACGUUCUCUAAUUGAAUAAAUGUCGGUAAGUAUCGAAAUUUAAAUAGAUAUUAAUAUUGAGCUCGAGUAAAUAAAUUCAUUGUGUGAAAUUGUGGGUGGCAGAAAAUAUUCAUAAUAAAUUGAUGUGUUAAUUUGUUUGGAAUGAACUACGUGGUUAUGAUGGUAUUACAUUGAUGAUGAAUGCAAAGUCAUAUAUAUAUGUGUAUCUAUGAGAGUAAGUUAAAAGCUUUAUGUCUUCACCUUCACCCCCUCAUCAGUAUUGUUUUAUGAAAAAAUUAUCUUGAUGAGAUAGAUAUGUUUUUUAACUGAAUUAAUUCUAACAGUAUAGAAGUAAACACUUAAAUGUUUGAGUGAAAAUGUAUUGAUUAUGAGUUGAAACUCAUAAAGGCAUGGAUAAAAGAGUAUAACAUUUUGUUAUUGAUAAAUGUUAUAAUUAUAUGAGCACAUGACUUAUGAUAUUUGGAUUAUGAUGGUAUAUAGAAAUUUCGAUUGUGAAUUAGUGAUUUGAGUUGGCAUAUGAAUUAUGUGUUGAGAACAAAAGUGAUUAAAAGCAAUGUUUAUUAAAUGCUUUAAGAAUGUGAAAUUAGUAAUGAAUUGGCUAUUUGUGAUAGUAUGUGUCAUGCGCAUUUAUGUGUAAGAUAAAUCUGAGGCUUUACUACACUCACCCCCCAUAUCAGUAAAAUGUUACAAUGAAAUUUGUAAGAUGUUGGUUGAAUAAGCUUACGAGUGUAGUGUUACAGAAGUUUGUGUACGGAAGAUUAAUAAUGUGGUCAGAAAAGUGAAUGAAUUAGAAAAUAAAGACAAUAUAAAAAAAGAGAUAUUGGAUAGUUUUGAAAACUACUCAGAUUAUGCAAAGUUGUUGUCACAAAAGAAGUUAAAUCCGAUUAAAUGAUUUAUUUAAGUAUGUUAUUUAAAUAAAGAAUUAACCAAAAGCUUUUCUGGAUCGAUUUCUGUUAGUAAAGAGAUAAUGUGAAAAUUCUGAUGACAGAAUUAGACAAUUGAGUAAUGUUUGUAUUGUAUUAAUAGCUGAGUACAGUAGCUAUAAUGGGGUAAUUACUAUGAUUCCUUUUAGACAUUCUGUGUGUACAAUUAUCCUCAGAAGUAUAUGUGACUGUUUAGUUUCAAAAAAAAUUCUUAUCGUAUGAGAACAUUAGCUAAACAUAUUAAUAGAUGAAAGAAUUAUUGGUUUGUUUGGGUUAUGUUCGACAUUUCCAUGUUUUUUUUGGUAUUUAUUCCCUUGUGUGAAUAUGAAAAUCGACAGUAAAGUCUGUGUGAGGCUAAUAUUUUGUUUCUACUGGUUAUUGUUCUAUUGAAUAUACGUGAAGAUUAUAUUGCUUCUGUUACUUUGGAUUCCAUUAAUUAUGAGUGACAUUGAUCUUUCUAGACAUUUUAUUUUAUCAUAGGAAUGGAUAUCAUUCUAUAUGGAUUGUAAUUUUUCGAUACUUUGUGUAGCUUCAGAUGCUGAAAUAUCGCUAUCCUGAUUUUCUUAUGAAUUUAUGUGAUUAUCUAUAAAAGAUAUGAAAGUCCAAAAUCAUGUGUGAAUUUGAAAUGUACUGUAUGGAAGCAAAUCAUUAAUCUACUAUCUGGUAAGAUUUUCGAGGACGAAAAUCCCUAAAGGGGGAGAGUUGUAACAGCCCGAAUUUUGGGCUAGUCGGAAUAAUGGUUUUGGGACCACAAAUUCGACGAGAAAAAAUAUUUAUUUUCAUUAUAUUUUUAUGGUCUACGAUUUCACAAAAUAAUUUCGUGAAAAUUUCGUUUGAAAAUUGACGUUUGGGUACUCAAUUUAGUCAAAAGGACUAAAUUGUAAAAAGUGCAAAAGUUGAGUUCUACAUGUUAGAAGUGUCCAAUUGUUAUGAAAUUUUAAAUUGGAGGUCCUUAAAUGGUAAUUAGACCAUUGAUUAACUUUUUGGACAAAAAUGGACAAGAGAUAAGUGAAAUAGGAAAAUUUUAAGUUGGGGCAUUUUGGUCAUUUAGUAAUUAAAAGAAUUAAAAAGGCCAAAAUAGCCAAAAAUUUGUCCAUCUUCUCCAUGGUGAACGAAAUCAGUAAGGGGGAAGCCAUAUUUAGGGUUUUCAAGCUUCCAAGCUCCAUAGUAAGUGAUUUCAAGUCCCGUUUUUAAUGUUCUUUACAUUUUUAGUCUUGGUAACUUGAUUUAGCUUAUUCUAGCAACAAUUUAAUCUAGUGUUCAUAUUUGGAAAAAUAACCAUAGGUGAAAUAUAUUUAUUUUGAUGUUUUAUGGUAGAAUAUGAAGCUUGAAAUUAUGUUAAAUAACUUUUGCUAGUCGAUUUUAAGUGAAAACGAGUAAAUUGACAUAAUUGGUAAAAAUACCUAAUGUUCAUAAUUAAGUGUUAGAGUGAGAAUUUGAUGUUGUCAUAUAAGGGAAAAAUGUUCAGCGUGUCAUAAAACAUAAGAAAAAAGAAUAAAGUUUAAUUUCCGAGCCUAGGGGCAAAAUUGUAAUUUUGUAAAACUUUAGGGGCAAAAAUGUAAUGUUGCCAAAAUAUGAUUUUUGGCCUGGAUUGAAUAAUGUGAGUGUUAAAUAAGUUAAAUGUGUUAUUAUAAGUCAAGAAAGACAAGGAAUUGACUUUGAUUAGUGAAAAAGAAAAAAAUGAGAAAAAGUGAGAAAUUUCUCGAUUGAACAUUCGAAAUAAAAAGGGAUACGAAUGAAGUGACAGAAAUGAUCACAUGUAUGGCAUGGACUGUGUGUAGGCCACUAUGUGAAAGUGAAAGUGAUGGUCACGUGUGUAGUACUAUGUGCAGGCUACUACGUGUACCAAAAUGAUAGGUCGUAUGUGUAGCACUAUGUGCAGGCUACUACGCAUACCGGAUAGCUUCGAUCACGUGUGUAGUACUAUGUGCAGGCUACUACGUGUAUCGGAUAGUGAUGGUCACAUGUGUAGUACUAUGUGCAGGUUACUAUGUGAACCAGUAUCAUUAAUUAUAAGGUGAUUGUUAUGUGCUGAUCCCACCGGAUAUCAUUGAUUACAAAGGGUGGUUGUUGUGUGCUAAAUCCACCGUGUAUCUGUUAUUAUUCCGAAGUGUUCAUCGGGAAAUUGACUAAGUGAAAAUACAUGAGAUCAUGUAACGGUUAAGUGUGAUUGAAUGAUGAAUAUAUGUGUGGAAUUAAAUUGAAUAAUGAUUGAAAGUGAAAAAGUGAAAUUAUGAAAAAGUAAAAUUAGCAACAAAAUAGUUUUGGACAGUAAUAAUAGUGUGACUUUGAAAACUCACCAAAAAUGGUGAAAAUUAAAUUAGAGAGUGAAUAAGAUAUGAAAUGAAAGCUUAAUGAGUUUAUUUUUACAUAAAAGAAACAGAGCAAGCAAAAGAGUUAUAUAUUUUGAGAUAUUUGAAUUUUAGUGAGGCAGGGUCGGAUUGAUUUCAGAAUCACCUAUUCUGAUUUUGGAAAAUAAUUAAAGUUAUACAAAAAUAAUUAUGAGUUAUAAUUUAUAUGCUUAGUUCAAAGGAAAUAAACGGAAAUAUCAUCUGAAUUCUGUACAAUGAGAUAAUUCAUUUUUAGUGAAGAGAGGUCAGAGAUGUUGAGCAGUGAAACAUAGGUGACUUUAAAAAAUAAACUGUACAAAUUGGAUAACCAAAAAUUUUGAAAAUUUUAUGGUAAGAAGAUAUGAGAGUCUAGUUUCGGGGAAAAUUAACGGAACUUAAUUUGGAGCUCUGUAGAUCUGGAUAAAAAUAAUUUAGCGACUGUAACUCGACUAGACAACUUUGAAUUUAAAUAUAAGUGAAUAGUGAAAUUAUGUAUAAUGUUAUUUAAGCAUGUUAUAUACAUAAAGGAUGUGAGAUGGAGAGGAGGAGGAUGACAAUAAAAUAUAUGAAUGAAUUGUGUAUAAUUGGUUAAAUGUCUGAUUAUAAUCGAUAAAUGUUGAAAUAGGAGUGAUGCGUAUAUUGGUGCAUUACUGGUCAGCUCAUGAGAGAAUAAAGUUUCAUAGCAUAUGCGUGUGGUAUAUUUGGCAUGAAAUGGUGUCAUGAGUGGCUCAUGAAUUAACUGAUGUUGGUAAGUUGAUGCAUAAUUAUAGUAUUCAAAUAUAUACAUAUUUGUAAUAUUUUGCUAUGUGAUUCGAAAAAAGGGGAAUAAAUAGUAUACUAAAAAUUCGGCCAUGGUGCUAGUUUAUGUUGCAUGAGUGUUUUAUGACAUAUCUUAAGUAAUGGAAUGUUAUGAAUUUUGAGAUUAAUUUGCUAGUCAAAUAAAUGACAAAUGAAUUGAUUACGUAUUCGUAAUUUUGACAUAUGCUUGGUAUAUGAAACGUAAUAAUAUAUGCUUGAAUAAAUUUUAAGUAUUCGAAUGACAUGGAUUUAUGGUGAUAAGAUUCGAAUAUUGAAUUCAUGAAGCACAGGUGAUGUAUUAUUGUUGUGUGAUAGCUUGGUUCGAGGAAUUGGCUAGGUAAAUGGUAAGUGAAAGUAUUUAUGGAUAUAGAAGAAAAUUUGGAGUGAAUAUGAAAUUUAGCUCAAUUAAAUGAUUUCAUCAAUUAAACAUUGUGUAUACCAGAAUGUGUUAGUGAAUUACAUAUUCGUAAAUUGACAUUCAAAGUUCAGUUAGUGAUAUAUGAAAAUAACAUGAAAAGAUUUAUGAUUGUGAUUAAUAUUGAUUCUGACUUAAUGUGGAUUCUUCAAUAUUGGAUUGAUUUAACGGAUAUAUUGAGCAUAUGAAUAGGUAUGUAUUGGGCCUCGUAAACCCUAAUUAGCAACUCGAAGAUAAUAAUUUGAAAGUUUUUAAUUUGGAUGAAAUUUUAUAAGUCGAUUUAAUAUGUUUAUAAGUGUAUUUAUUCUGGCAAUGCCUCAUACCCUAUUCCAGCGUAGAAUACGGGUAAGGGGUGUUAUAAUGUGACAUCAUCAGAUUCGGCCCUAAUGUUUAGGCCGAGUUUGGGGUGUUACACGCAACCUACAAUACUGAGUUUUGGAUCAAAGAUUGCAUUUGAACCAAAACUUCAGAUUACGAAUUGAUUGAAUUGGUGGGAGUCUCCAUUUUUCUGUUAAGAAACAAAACCAUAAUUAGAAAACUUAUCAACUUUUCUUAGACGACAGGAAUCUAAUAAAACCCGAAACAAAAGUUUAUACGGUCAAACUAAAAAUAAAAUAAAUAAUGCACCAGAUAGGUAACCCUAAAAGAGAGGUGGUGCACUCUGCACGCUUAAAUACCAAGUCUUUCAAGGAACCAAUCCUAGACAUGCAUUUUCAUAUUGUCUUUUUAAUUCACCGUCGAUAAAUUUCUUUUAAUUCAAUUUAAAGCCACAAUUAAUGCUACCAUAAACAAAAAAGUUUCCCUUUGAUUUGUUAAACGACAGAAUAAAAUUCUGAAACAAAAUCAAAAUUAAUUUUUGUUAAAGGGCAGGAUUAAAUCCCGAAACAAAAUUAUAUCAUUAAAUCAAAAUAAAAUCUAUUAAACGACAGGAAUAAAUCCCGAAAUAGAAUUGUUUGAUUACGUCUUUGUUUGGAAACAAAACAAUAUCGAAUAAAAUCUUGUUAAACGGCGAUAAUAAAUCCUGAAACAGAUUUAUUUAAUUUAGUUCGAAUUUGGAAACAAAAUAAAAUCAAACAAAAUCUUUUUAAACGGCGGAAUAAAUCCCAAAACAGAUUUUAUUUAAUUUAAUAUCUCUUUUUUGGAAAUAAACCAAAUUUGGAAUGAAAUUGUUGAACGGCGGGAAUUAAUCCCGAAAAUAUUUUUAUUUUACUCAUUUUUGGAAAUGAAACAAAAUUGGAAUAAAAUCUUUGAAAGGCGGGAAUCAAUCCCGAAAUGAUUUUUAUAUUACUCAUUUUUGGAAAUAAAACAAAUUUGGAAUAAAAUCGUUGAACGGCGAGAAUCGAUCUCGAAACGAUUUUAUUUUACUCGUUUUUUGAAAUAAAAAAAUUUUAGAAUAAAAUCGUUGAACGGCGGGAAUCAAUCCCGAAAUGAUUUUUAUUUUACUUUUAAUUUCCCGUUUGGAAAUAAAAUCAAAUUAAUGGAAUAAAAUCUAUUGAACGAGGGAAUCAAUCCUAAAACGGAUUUUACUUAUUUUUAAUUUGGAAACAAAAUCGAAUAAAAUCUGUUAAACGGUGGGUAAAAUUUCAAAACAGAUUUUAUUAGUUUUAAUAAAUAUUUGAAAAUAGAAAAUAAAAAAUAAUAGAAGGAAAUAGGAAAUCUGUUGAACGGUUGGGAAAUCCCAAAACAGAUUUAUUUUUUUAAAAAAAAUUUAUUUUCGAAAAAAAUAUGUAAUUUUUUUUUCUUUUUUGCCUUGGUGUUGUGUCAGAUUAGAAAAUUGCAAAUUAGCAUAUCUGUCUUAAGAUUGUUAGACAAAACACAUUAGCAAAUAAAAAUAAUUAAUUAUAAAUAAACACAUAUAAAAUAAAUUAUGAACAUUAUUAUUUAUAGUUAAUUUAUCAAAUAUGAAAAUCAAAUAAAACCAUAAUAAACAAUUGAAAUAAAGGAGAAUUGAGAUUUUACAAAACGUUGAGGCCCGUGAAACACGGUUUCCUUAAGAUAGAUUCGGCUGCUGCUACGGUACUUGGUGUAACGUUGGUCUAAAGUCUCCUAUGAUACAACAACAGUAGUGAUCGAAGUAGUAGCACAUCUACCACGAUCAAUUGAACGGACAAUGUCCUUUUCUAUCAUUGGAAUAUUUAUAAAAUACGAAGGAUGGAAAAAGAGAUUUUUUAGAAUAACAGAAUUUUGGCAAGAGAAAUUAUGAGGGAAUAUGAAAGUGUGUAAAAACCCUUUAGAAUCAUGGCCUUUUAUAGGCAUGGAGAGUGUUGAAAUUUUGGAAAAAAUAUCUCUAAAAUCUGCCAUUAAAUAAAAAAUUUAACAAAUUUAAUGGAAUCAAAUCAAUAAGAUAAGUUUCCAUAUAUAAACAGAUUUUGUUUGUAGAGGAAAAAUGAAUUCAUAUUUGGCUAAAAUAUUCGCAGGCCCAUAUGGGCUUGACCGGCCAUCAGGUUUGGACUUGCACCCCUACGCAUGAGACAAAGCUACAAGUUUAGUUAUUUAAAUACUUUUCAAGAGAGUUCACAUAUAUAAAUACAUCUUACACUUGGUAUUUAACCAAUAUGGGAUCUAAGCCUUUUAUUUUUUCUCAACAAUAUUUCUAAGUAGCUUACUUUGAGCAUCAAUUUCUCAUUCAUCACUCAACCAAUUUGAGCAUAUAAUAUACCGUUGUAAAGGUCUCAUGGGGUAGAAUAUGAAACCAUAAAAUUAUGAUUCAACUCUCUACCUUUAUCUAUUGAGAAUAUGCCUCAAAGUUGCCAUAAAAUGCAAUUUUUCCAACACUAACUUAAUUGUAUUUAAUUCUAAUCUUCCAUUUGACUUACUAAGUAAAAAAACAAAAUAAUAGAAAUAAUAAACAAUAAAUAAAAAAUUCAAAGUGUUGUCUUGAUUUGAAUAAAGAAAUAGUUAAAGCUUUUCUGUUUUCGUACAUGUUCAAACUGUAUUACCAUUCUUGUUAGUAUAAAAAAAAACAAGGUGUUUUCUUUUGAUGCAUAUGUGAUGCAAUGUUACUUUUAACCACUAUUAACUUGGGUGUAAUUAUUUUGUUUUAUUUUGAUGCAUGAAACGUUAAUUGAACAUUUAAUUAUUUGAUUGGUGUAUAUUUGAUUAACACUUCGAUAUGAUCUAUCAUUCUAAUUAAUUAGCAACUAAGUUUUUUUUAAUUUAAUGUUAUUAUUUAUUAUGCUUUAAAGCGAUGAUUUAUAUUAAUAUUUAAGGUUUUUAUUAAAUUAAUAUCAUCUUCAAUUUGGUCUCAAUUCAAUAAAGAAUUUAUCAAAAGUUAGAUAAUUUUAUAAAGUAAUUAAGGUUGUCAAAUCCGAUUAGAUAUCUAAUUCAAAUUUAUUGGUUAUCAAAUAAAUGCUUCCAACAACAUUUGAACCUAAAAACCUUUUAGGUAUAAAGCCAUGCUUUAACGAUUAAUAGUUGCCUUAAAUAUUGAUUAUGAUUUACACAAAUGAAUAAAUGAUUAAUUAAAAACUAAUUAAAUAUUUUCUAAAACUAAAUAUAAUAAUUAAUAUUAAAAUUAAAUAUAUUAUUUUUAUUAGGAAAAUUUAUAUAUAUUUAUCAAAAUCAAGGUGUCAUCGGCUAGUGGUAGUGACUAAUCCGUAAACCUAUCUGGCGAUGGAUACUUAGAAUCCCUAAAUUUAUAUCUAUCUCUUUUAUUAUUUGAUCAACUUAAUUAAUUAAAUUACUUUUAACAAAAAACUAAAAUAAUAUUUAUAUAAUUAAAAUAAAUAUCAUAAUAUGAAUUUACAUUAUAACAUUUGAGAUAUAAUUAUAUUAAUACAUAUUAUAUUAAAAAAACAAUAUACAUACAUAUUUAACUACAUAUAAUAUAUCAAUUGAUGUACAUAAGUAAAUUACGAAUGUAUAAUAAUUAUCAUACAUUUAUGAUAUUAAUGAUAUGCAACUUAAACCUUGAAUGUGAACUAAUUUAAUGAUAGAUUAUAAUAUAUACAAUUAACAUUAUAUAAUUAAGGUAGCUUAUUAAUGAUAUGUAUUUCUAUAUACAUUUAUGUUAUUAUAAUGUAAUUUUUUAUAUUAAUAAUAUGUGAGUUUAAACCCUAAAUGUGUGACUAAUUUUAUGGUAGAUUAUAAUAUAUACAAUUAGCAUGAGUUAAGUAAUUAAGUUAUGUUAGAUUCUUAUGGAACUUUUUAAUUUGUCUAGAAUUCUUAUAUUUAAGUUGUUAAGUAUAUUUAAAUUGCUGUAAAAUUGUUAUGCUUAAUUGGUUUGAAUUGUUAGGUAUAUUUAACUACUGUUAAACCAAGCUUUAUUUAAUAAAUUAUUUUGAUAUAAUAAAUAAAAGAUUUUUGAAUAAAGAUGGUUUUUGAAUAAAGAAUUAAUCUCAAAGUAAAUUCAUUUCAAAGUCUUUCUAAAACUCCAAAUAUUUUGAAAAAUAAUUUGAACACUUAGAAAUAUUUUAGACAAGUUCAAAACCUUUCAAACGUUUUAAACAAAGUGCAAACUGAUCCCUAAACAAAAACUAUCGAUACUUAUUAGUUAGUAUUGAAACCCAUGCAUUUUUAUCGACACUUUUACUAAUAUCGAUACAGUUUUGUAUUCUGACUUCGAAGAAAUUUUUAAGCAAACACAUUGAGUAUCGAUACUUAUAAUUAAGUACUGAUACCUAGAUAAUUUUAUCGAUACCUUGGUUAGUAUCGAUACGGAUUUUGCAUUUUAACUUCGAAGGAUUUUUGAACAAACACAUAAAGUAUCAAUACCCAUAAAAAAAACAUCAAUACCUUUUAUCAGGUAUCAAUAAAUUUCCUUUGGUAUUGAUGUAAAUAGGGAUAACAGUAACUAUACUAUUGCAUUAAAUGCUAAUAGUAUUGAUACCUAUAAAAAGUAUCAAUAACUGUUGUUGCAGGUGACAUAAAUGCAUUGGUAUUUUCAUCUACGAUGGCUCUAUUCAAUUCUAGAACAACCAUAACAGUUGAAAAUCAGUUUGGGAGUAUAAAUACCAUCUUCAAAAGGUUCAACAACAACAAGAGAGUGCAAAAAGAUAAAAAAAAGCUAUCCUAUCAACCUUUGUGCUUAAGUUCUUCAUAUUUUUCUUGUAUACACUUGUGAGAAUCUAUUGUUUUCUUUUAUUAGCUCAAGUGUUUUUCUUUGUAUUAGUGCUUAAUUGGCAAACACCUUUAUCUUGUAAGGAUUAUUUCUUUUUUUUCUUAAUUGUUUGUCUUUGAGAGGGUUUAUGUCUUAAGAUUUGUGUAGAAAUCUUAAGGGAGUUGUAAGGUUAAACCUUAUCCUCACAGGUUAAUCAAAUUAGUGAAUUUGGAAAAAUCUUUAGUUGUGGAAAGCUAAGGUAGUGGAGUAGGUAGUUGAGGAUGAACCACUAUAAAUCAUUGUGUUCAUUGUUUCAUUUUUUCUCUUUGCUUUCACAAAAUUUUAAAAGGCCAAUUCACCCCUCACUUGGCUAAUUUCAGUUGAGUGAUCGAGCUAAUAAUUGGUAUCAUAGCUAGCCUCUAAAUAUGGUUUAACCACCAAGAGAAAAUCCUUGAGGAAGCUCAAUUAUCACCAACUCAACCUACAACAAAUGACAUCCACUUCCA
RNAcentral lists this long non-coding RNA (19246 nucleotides) under Gossypium barbadense (sea-island cotton). Its description in RNAcentral is "long non-coding RNA (GBAR_LNC014161)". The record is from RNAcentral. Lineage: Eukaryota; Viridiplantae; Streptophyta; Magnoliopsida; Malvales; Malvaceae.